ACCAAUUCUGGGGGAUAAUUAGUUCCUCUUGGCAUAAUGGCUCAGACGCGAAACUGAGUGAGUGGUUAUAUCCUGAUAAAUGGACUUGUUUACUAGUGCCAUAUUAUCCUGGAAACGCCACGCACAUUU
Molecule: non-coding RNA, 129 nt
Organism: Capsicum annuum
Lineage: Eukaryota; Viridiplantae; Streptophyta; Magnoliopsida; Solanales; Solanaceae
Source: Rfam